RNAcentral lists this long non-coding RNA (2564 nucleotides) under Canis lupus familiaris (dog). RNAcentral describes it as "lncRNA (ENSCAFG00000053752.1)". The record is from RNAcentral. Lineage: Eukaryota; Metazoa; Chordata; Mammalia; Carnivora; Canidae.
UUGUUUCAUAGUGAUUAUUCUUUUUAUUCCCAUAAGAAUAUAAAUUUGCCUUAAUUUGAGAAACACAAGAAAUCUUUAUAUGAGAAUUGCUAAAAAAUGAGGUAUCUGUCACACAGUAACUUCAAUAAAAUAGUCAUUAAAUAUUAAUUCGGGAAAUGUUUAUAAUAAAUGUGAAGGCACAUUCCAGUUCCCCAUCUUAUAUAAAUAAUAAUGAGAACAUGAAUUUUAUUUGAGCUAAUAUGAUUGCAUUAUUAAUUCUUAAGUGGAAGAUAAUAGAAUAUAACAAGUAGCAAAAUGAAAACAAAGACUGAAAAUACAGCACCCAAGUCAAUGAUAACUUGAACUAAAAAAAACUAUCAUAUUAUCAUAUUAUAUACUUGUGAUUUAUAAUAAGAAAUAUAUUUGGUCUUUGUCCCUAUUCCUGGCACAGAGCUCUUAAACCCUUACAAAUUCAAAAGUGGUAAGAGCACUAAGGAUAUCUUUUGUUUUUAUAUUUGGUCUUUGACCCUGGUUCCUGACUCAGGGCUUCUUAAACCCUUGUAAAUUCCUAAGUUCUAAGAGCACUAGAAAUAUCUUUUGUUCUAAUGAGGUGACUUUGGGUGGGGUCCUGAUCUGGUGAUCAGCCCUCAUAGAUGGAGGCUGGUCACCAUAAAGACCAAGUCACGCUUAGAAGCUUGGAAUUUUCAGUCCAAUUCACCACCCUCCAGAGAGGGGAAAAGGGCUAGAAAUGGAGUUAAUAAUUGCUCAUGCUUAUAGAAAGAAGCUUCCAUAAAAUCCCAAUAGUAUGGAGGUUAGAGAGCUUCUGGCUUGGUGAAUACAUCCACAUACCAAGAGGGAAACACACUCAAACUCCAUGAUGACAAGCUUCUGUGUCUGGGACCUUCCCAGAUCUUGCCUAGGCACCUCUUCAUCAGCCUGUUCAUCUGUAUCUUUUAUCAAAUUCUCUAUCAAUUGUUUUUUUUUCCAAACUAAUAAUAAUAAUAAUAAUAAUAAUAAUAAUAGAAAGGGAACAAAGGAGGAGAGGUAGAGAAAAUCAUCUUUCAUCAACUCUUUAAGAAAAAAAAUUUUUAAAAAGAACUAGUUAGAGAACAAAGAAAACAAUUAAAAGACUUAUAUAUGCUUCUAUUUAUAAUUAUAAUUUAUAUAUGUGUAUGUGUUCUGGGUCUUUAGAUCCAACUAAUAUUUUUAAGUAUUUAAAAGUUGCUCUAAGAAUAUACAAUCUAGGUAGGGUGAAAAAACAAAAACCAGAAAUUAUUUAUAAUGAUAGGGUGGAAUGCCAAGGUAGCGAUAGGGUUAUUAAGCAAUAUGACACUAUCAUGAUUUAUUUAAGCUAAAGAAUUGGCAUGAUUUAGUAGAAACUACUCCUAGGUAAAAUAAUAGCAUUUGUGGAGUUGCUAAGAAAUACCUCGUCAAACAGAGUUUUUAAUAGCACAUGGCUAACAGAUCUUAUCACAACUUCUGCCAACUGUUCACUAAAAGAUCUACAUAUAUAUACUUGAGAAAAUAAAAACUGUAAUCAUAGUGGGAGGAUUCUAUUUCUCUCAGAGGUUGACAAGUCAGACAGACAAAUAUAAGACUGGAAAGCACUUGAAUAACACAAUUUAUAAGCUAACUCUAAUAAAAUAUCACUUUAUAUACCACAAAGGGAAUAUAAAUAUACUUCCAAAACUCCUAUAUAUUAGAAAAUAAAUCAACAAAGCAUCAAAUUCACAAACUGUAAACAGAACAACAAAAUAAAUACCAACAUAAGUAGAAAGGAUUAAGCAGGGAAAGUAAUAGAAUGAAAAAUACAGAUUAUAAACAUUCCUAUGUAAAUUGAUUGGAAAACAGAAUCAGCAAGAUAGUUAUUGAAUAUGCAUAAUAGUCAGGCAGACUUUAUCCCAAGAUUGCAAGAUUUCUUUAUAAGGAAGUCUAUUCAUGAAAUUCACAAGAUUAACAGAUUACAUGGAAAAAUUAAAUCAUUUCAAAUUACUCUAAAAACUUUUGAUAAAAGUAAAAACAUUUUCUGAAUUAAAUAGAAUACACCAGCAAUGGGAGGGAGGACUUUCUCAAGGUAAAAUAUAUCUCCUAGAAACACACAGCAAGUAUUAUACUUAGAGUUGACAUUAAAAUAAUUUUUAUUAUCAGAAGAUAAGGAUUCAGGGAGCUAGGCAAUAUCGUAGUGGAGCACUUACCCAAUGCAUUAAGAUGGCAAAAAGAAUGAGAGAAAAUUGUCAUUAUUUGUACAAAAUAAUGUUGUAUAAUACAACAGAAUCAACUGAAAACUGUUAGAAUUGACAAGAAACCAGCAAAGUUGCAGGAUAUAAACCCCCCAAAUUCUCCAUAUUAGCAAUGUUCAAUUUUAUAAGGUCAUUUAAAAAGGAUUCUAUUUGGGGAUUCCUGGGUGGCUCAGCGGUUUAGCGCCUGCCUUCGGCCUGGGGCAUGAUCCUGGAGUCCCGGGAUUGGGUCCCACAUCCGGCUCCCUGCAUGGAGCCUGCUUCUCCCUUUGCCUGUGUCUCUGCCUCUCUCUCCCUCUGUGUCUCUCAUGAAUGAAUAGAUAAAAUCUUAAAAAAAAAAAAAAAAAA